CCUACGGGAGGCAGCAGUGGGGAAUAUUGCACAAUGGGGGAAACCCUGAUGCAGCGACGCCGCGUGAGUGAAGAAGGAUUUCGGUAUUUAAAGCUCUGUCAGCAGGGAAGAAAAUGACGCUACCUGACUAAGAAGCCACUGCUAACUCCGUGCCAGAAGCCGCGGGCAUACGUCGGGUGCCAGCUGUAUCCGGAUUGUCUGGGUGUAAAUGGAGCUUCGACGGUAGGGCAAGUCAGGAGUGAAAGCCGGGGGCUCAAUCCCCGGACUGCUUGUGAAACUGGCAGGCUGGAGUGAAGGAGAGGUAAGCGGAAUUCCUGGUGUAGCGGUGAAAUGCGUAGAUAUUAGGAAGAACACCAGUGGCGAAGGCGGCUUACUGGACUGUAACUGACGUUGAGGCACGAAAGCGUGGGGAGCAAACAGGAUUAGAUACCCCAGUAGUC
This 440-nucleotide ribosomal RNA is filed under the name uncultured bacterium. RNAcentral's name for it is "partial 16S ribosomal RNA". It matches the Rfam family "Bacterial small subunit ribosomal RNA", at positions 338 to 795 of the family's 1533-position model. The record is from RNAcentral.